Molecule: ribosomal RNA, 440 nt
Filed under: uncultured bacterium
Lineage: Bacteria
Description: partial 16S ribosomal RNA
Rfam family: Bacterial small subunit ribosomal RNA
Source: RNAcentral
CCUACGGGGGGCAGCAGUGGGGGAUAUUGCACAAUGGGGGGAACCCUGAUGCAGCGACGCCGCGUGGGUGAAGAAGCGCCUCGGCGCGUAAAGCCCUGUCAGUAGGGAAGAAAAUGACGGUACCCGAAGAAGAAGCCCCGGCUAACUACGUGCCAGCAGCCGCGGUAAUACGUAGGGGGCAAGCGUUGUCCGGAUUUACUGGGGGUAAAGGGGGCGGAGGCGGGGCUGAAAGCUAGGAGGUAAAGCCCGGGGCCUAACCCCGGGACUGCUCUUGGAACUGCGUGGCUUGAGUGCAGGAGGGGCAGGCGGAAUUCCUGGUGUAGCGGUGAAAUGCGUAGAUAUCAGGAGGAACACCGGUGGCGAAGGCGGCCUGCUGGACUGCAACUGACGUUGAGGCCCGAAAGCGUGGGGAGCAAACAGGAUUAGAUACCCUGGUAGUC